GCUCAAAUUUGAAAUCUGGCUCUCGGGCCCGAGUUGUAAUUUGUAGAGGAUACUUUUGAUGCGGUGCCUUCCGAGUUCCCUGGAACGGGACGCCAUAGAGGGUGAGAGCCCCGUCUGGUUGGAUGCCAAAUCUCUGUAAAGUUCCUUCGACGAGUCGAGUAGUUUGGGAAUGCUGCUCUAAAUGGGAGGUAUAUGUCUUCUAAAGCUAAAUACCGGCCAGAGACCGAUAGCGCACAAGUAGAGUGAUCGAAAGAUGAAAAGCACUUUGAAAAGAGAGUUAAAAAGUACGUGAAAUUGUUGAAAGGGAAGCGUUUAUGACCAGACUUGGGCUUGGUUAAUCAUCUGGGGUUCUCCCCAGUGCACUUUUCCAGUCCAGGCCAGCAUCAGUUUUCCCCGGGGGAUAAAGACUUCGGGAAUGUGGCUCUCUUCGGGGAGUGUUAUAGCCCGUUGUGUAAUACCCUGGGGGGGACUGAGGUUCGCGCAUCUGCAAGGAUGCUGGCGUAAUGGUCAUCAACGACCCGUCUUGAAACACGGACCAAGGAGUCGUCUUCGUAUGCGAGUGUUCGGGUGUCAAACCCCUACGCGUAAUGAAAGUGAACGCAGGUGAGAGCUUCGGCGCAUCAUCGACCGAUCCUGAUGUUCUCGGAUGGAUUUGAGUAAGAGCAUACGGGGCCGGACCCGAAAGAAGGUGAACUAUGCCUGUAUAGGGUGAAGCCAGAGGAAACUCUGGUGGAGGCUCGCAGCGGUUCUGACGUGCAAAUCGAUCGUCAAAUAUGGGCAUGGGGGCGAAAGACUAAUCGAACCUUCUAGUAGCUGGUUUCCGCCGAAGUUUCCCUCAGGAUAGCAGUGUUGAACUCAGUUUUAUGAGGUAAAGCGAAUGAUUAGGGACUCGGGGGCGCUAUUUAGCCUUCAUCCAUUCUCAAACUUUAAAUAUGUAAGAAGC
RNAcentral lists this ribosomal RNA (943 nucleotides) under Fusarium proliferatum. RNAcentral's name for it is "eukaryotic LSU rRNA". It matches the Rfam family "Eukaryotic large subunit ribosomal RNA", at positions 107 to 1081 of the family's 3401-position model. Lineage: Eukaryota; Fungi; Ascomycota; Sordariomycetes; Hypocreales; Nectriaceae. The record is from RNAcentral.